RNAcentral lists this ribosomal RNA (856 nucleotides) under uncultured bacterium. RNAcentral describes it as "SSU rRNA". It matches the Rfam family "Bacterial small subunit ribosomal RNA", at positions 524 to 1381 of the family's 1533-position model. The record is from RNAcentral.
UACGAAGGGACCUAGCGUAGUUCGGAAUUACUGGGCUUAAAGAGUUCGUAGGUGGUUGAAAAAGUUAGUGGUGAAAUCCCAGAGCUUAACUCUGGAACUGCCAUUAAAACUUUUCAGCUAGAGUAUGAUAGAGGAAAGCAGAAUUUCUAGUGUAGAGGUGAAAUUCGUAGAUAUUAGAAAGAAUACCAAUUGCGAAGGCAGCUUUCUGGAUCAUUACUGACACUGAGGAACGAAAGCAUGGGUAGCGAAGAGGAUUAGAUACCCUCGUAGUCCAUGCCGUAAACGAUGUGUGUUAGACGUUGGAAAUUUAUUUUCAGUGUCGCAGCGAAAGCGAUAAACACACCGCCUGGGGAGUACGACCGCAAGGUUAAAACUCAAAUGAAUUGACGGGGACCCGCACAAGUAGUGGAGCAUGUGGUUUAAUUCGAAGAUACGCGCAGAACCUUACCAACACUUGACAUGUUCGUCGCGACUCUAAGAGAUUAGAGUUUUCGGUUCGGCCGGACGAAACACAGGUGCUGCAUGGCUGUCGUCAGCUCGUGUCGUGAGAUGUUGGGUUAAGUCCCGCAACGAGCGCAACCCUCACCUUUAGUUGCCAUCAUUAAGUUGGGCACUCUGAAAGAACUGCCAGUGAUAAGCUGGAGGAAGGUGGGGAUGACGUCAAGUCCUCAUGGCCCUUACGUGUUGGGCUACACACGUGCUACAAUGGUAUCUACAACAGGAAGCAAGACUGCGAGGUCAAGCAAAUCCUUAAAAGAUACCUCAGUUCGGAUUGCACUCUGCAACUCGAGUGCAUGAAGCUGGAAUUACUAGUAAUCGUGGAUCAGCGUGCCACGGUGAAUGCGUUCCCGGGUCU